RNAcentral lists this ribosomal RNA (302 nucleotides) under uncultured bacterium. Its description in RNAcentral is "partial 16S ribosomal RNA". It matches the Rfam family "Bacterial small subunit ribosomal RNA", at positions 508 to 807 of the family's 1533-position model. The record is from RNAcentral.
GCAGCAGCCACGGUAAUACGAAGGGGGCUAGCGUUGCUCGGAAUGACUGGGCGUAAAGGGCGCGUAGGCGGCGAUCAAAGUCAGGCGUGAAAUUCCUGGGCUCAACCUGGGGGCUGCGCUUGAUACUUGGUUGCUUGAGUGGGGAAGAGGGUCGUGGAAUUCCCAGUGUAGAGGUGAAAUUCGUAGAUAUUGGGAAGAACACCGGUGGCGAAGGCGGCGACCUGGUCCUUGACUGACGCUGAGGCGCGAAAGCGUGGGGAGCAAACAGGAUUAGAUACCCCAGUAGUCCCUGUCUCUUAUAC